Chlorocebus sabaeus (green monkey) is the source of this 1366-nucleotide long non-coding RNA. RefSeq lists it as uncharacterized. The record is from RefSeq and is a predicted model, not a curated record. Lineage: Eukaryota; Metazoa; Chordata; Mammalia; Primates; Cercopithecidae.
ACAAGCGUGCGUGCGCGUGACCGCCUCCACCGGCGGGCUCGUGAGCGCGCCGCCGCCGGGACCGCUCCUGGGCCUUAGAGAAGACGCGGAUAAGGACCAAGGAAAGAGAGAGGUAGCGGUUCCUGAGCUCCCUCGGCGCUUCGGCUCCUACAGCUCUGACUAUUCGGACCCUCAGGGUAGAACGGGAGGCGACCAGUUCCCUGCUAAGGAGUUGCCUGCGCUCUGAGAGUCAAGUGCUGCUAUGUUGCCUAGGCUGAUCUCAAACUCCUAAGCUCGAGCGAUCCUCCUGCCUCGACUUCCCAAAGUGCUAGUACGGGCGUGAGCCACUGUGCCCAGGUUUUUAAAAAUCUCAUCAAUAUUGACAAGCCAACCUAUUCAGCUUCUCCAAUUGUGUACUUCAAAAAGGCAGUAGUGGUUGGAAGAGGAAAUAGACCUUUUGUAAGUCAGAAAUUUAUCUCUUCAAAUAGGAUGAUAUAGCAAAUGCACCAUUCCAUAGUGUUCAUAUCCACUUGUACAGAAUCAGCAAGGUUUUUUUGGAGCAAGUUUUGUGUGAACUGAGUUGCAUUCUAGACCAAGCCUUGGAUUAACUCUCCAUGUACUUCCUGGGAAUCAUUCAGGCCUCCAGGAUUGGGAUGUUUUAUUUCCUCAGCAUAAACAUGAAGCAUCAAAGAAACUGAACUGACUGCCAUUUGAGUAAAAAGGAACAAUAGUGAAUUGAAAAGUAGGUAUUGAAAUUGUUUGAUUUCAGCAUUCUGGUGACAGACACUUAAUAACACAAAUCUGAAUCCGAUGAGUCCACCUCCGUAUCUCCCACUUACCCAGUCUUGAGGCUGCUUCUAAUUCUUCAGCCCCACAAACCUUAAGUUGGCUGGUUCUGGCUCAAAGCAAAGGUAUGGGAAUGCUUUUGGAUGUUGUAGAGGAUCAGAAUGUCGAGAUCUGAAGUAUCCAAGACAGAUGUUUUGACUCAUUACCACUAAUGUCUUUAGGAUAGAAGACGACUCCAGACCUGACCAGACUGCCAGCAGUUUUCUCCAGACUAGACUUUCAUUCAUGGGCAAAGAUUAAAACUGGACUAGCACAAUCAACAGAGUGAAAAGCAACCUACAGAAGGGGAGAAAAUAUUUGCAGAUUCUGUAUCUGAUAAGAGCGCAAUAUCUAGAAUAUAAAAGGAGCUCUUGCAGCUCAACAAAAAGAGCACUAAUUUUAAAAUGAGCAGAGGACAAAUGGCCAACAAGCAUAUAAGAACAUAGAUACUCAAGAUUACUAAUCAUUAGGGAAAUGCGAAUCAAAACUACAAUUAGGUACUGCCUCAUGCCUAUUAGGCUAGUCAGAUUAAAAAAAAAAAAAAAAAAAAAACAAGUGUUGA